CCUAAAAGCCUAAAUACCAUAAAGGCAACUGAUCUCAUCUGAUCUUGGAAGCUAAGUGGGGUCAGACUUGGUUAGUACCUGGAUGGAAGACCACCAUGAAUACUAGAUUCUAUGGGAU
Molecule: ribosomal RNA, 118 nt
Filed under: Anolis carolinensis (green anole)
Lineage: Eukaryota; Metazoa; Chordata; Lepidosauria; Squamata; Anolidae
Source: RNAcentral